This 92-nucleotide transfer RNA is filed under the name Achromobacter mucicolens. RNAcentral describes it as "tRNA-Ser". Lineage: Bacteria; Pseudomonadati; Pseudomonadota; Betaproteobacteria; Burkholderiales; Alcaligenaceae. The record is from RNAcentral.
GCUCGAUCUGGUUGACGGCGGGUGUGACGCCCGAAGCGUCGAUCAGGCGUUCCAGAUUCGCUUGCGUGAAGUUCGACACGCCGAUCGAUCGC